This 691-nucleotide long non-coding RNA is filed under the name Mytilus galloprovincialis (Mediterranean mussel). The record is from RNAcentral. Lineage: Eukaryota; Metazoa; Mollusca; Bivalvia; Mytilida; Mytilidae.
UAUCAGAAUUUAUUACAUGUAAUAGAACAUUGAUAACUGGUAUAAGCUGCAUCACAUCAAGUGACAAAUGACUUAUGAAACACACGUCUGGUAUAUCAAAUUAUAAGACUGGUACCUUUGAUAACUAUCAUGUCUGUGCAAGAAGAUGGAAAAAAAAUCCUUGUAAUUACAAUCAGAAGACGUUUGUAAGUGAACCAUAAUCUGAUAUACAACUCCACAUACAAUUAACAAGACAGUACAUAUAGAAAUAAUGAAUGUCCAUAACAUAGAAAAUCAAUUUUUAAAAUAGUUUUUAAAAAUUUUAAUGAGAUAUGAAAUUGCAAUUUAAUCUGAUACCAAAAACAUUUACAAGACUAGAAAUAAUCUUGUGUCCUGCUUUUCUCAUUCUUCACUAAUAAAAAUGACACAUUUUACAAAUAUAAAGGCUGCACCUCAACUUUUAAUUACAUUCAGUAUGAAUAUAUUGUCAAGGUCACAGUGUGGGAACGGAACUGUACGGUGUUUUAAUGUUUUGGUCAUUCGGGAGACUGUCAAGCGGGGCUCCGACAUUCGAGAGCAUUUUCAGCUACGGAGAAGGUAAGUGUUUUAUAUAAUUACUAUCUCUGGGCUCACUUUUAAUGCAUAUGAGAAAAGUAUUGCAUCUGUCAAUAAUAUUCAAACAUUCCAGGGGUCAGAAAAUAUUCUAGAGGCA